Molecule: ribosomal RNA, 445 nt
Filed under: uncultured bacterium
Lineage: Bacteria
Description: partial 16S ribosomal RNA
Rfam family: Bacterial small subunit ribosomal RNA
Source: RNAcentral
GUGAGGAAUAUUGGUCAAUGGGCGAGAGCCUGAACCAGCCAAGUCGCGUGAAGGAAGAAGGAUCUAUGGUUCGUAAACUUCUUUUGCAGGGGAAUAAAGUGCAGGACGUGUCCUGUUUUGUAUGUACCCUGAGAAUAAGGAUCGGCUAACUCCGUGCCAGCAGCCGCGGUAAUACGGAGGAUCCGAGCGUUAUCCGGAUUUAUUGGGUUUAAAGGGUGCGUAGGUGGUUUGAUAAGUCAGCGGUGAAAGUUUGCAGCUUAACUGUAAAAAUGCCGUUGAAACUGUCGGACUUGAGUGUAAAUGAGGUAGGCGGAAUGCGUGGUGUAGCGGUGAAAUGCAUAGAUAUCACGCAGAACUCCGAUUGCGAAGGCAGCUUACUAAGCUACAACUGACACUGAAGCACGAAAGCGUGGGGAUCAAACAGGAUUAGAAACCAGAGUAGUCC